RNAcentral lists this ribosomal RNA (506 nucleotides) under uncultured bacterium. RNAcentral's name for it is "partial 16S ribosomal RNA". It matches the Rfam family "Bacterial small subunit ribosomal RNA", at positions 29 to 523 of the family's 1533-position model. The record is from RNAcentral.
AUUGAACGCUGGCGGCAGGCCUAACACAUGCAAGUCGGACGGUAGCACAGAGGAGCUUGCUCCUCGGGUGACGAGUGGCGGAUGGGUGAGUAAUGUCUGGGAAACUGCCCGAUGGAGGGGGAUAACUACUGGAAACGGUAGCUAAUACCGCAUAACGUCGCAAGACCAAAGUGGGGGACCUUCGGGCCUCACACCAUCGGAUGUGCCCAGAUGGGAUUAGCUGGUAGGCGCGGUAACGGCCCACCUAGGCGACGCUCCCUAGCUGGUCUGAGAGGAUGACCAGCCACACUGGAACUGAGACACGGUCCAGACUCCGACGGGAGGCAGCAGUGGGGAAUAUUGCACAAUGGGCGCAAGCCUGAUGCAGCCAUGCCGCGUGUAUGAAGAAGGCCUUCGGGUUGUAAAGUACUUUCAGCGGGGAGGAAGGUGCUGAGGUUAAUAAGCUCAGCAAUUGACGUUACCCGCAGAAGAAGCACCGGCUAACUCCGUGCCAGCCGCCGCGGUAA